GAGGAAAGUCCGGGCUUAUCAGUAGGACUUGUUGCAGGAUAAGCUCCUGUGCAAGUAAUUGCGAGGCCAGUGCCACAGAAAAUAAUACCGCUAUAUCAUAUUUAGUAAGGGUGCAAUGGUGUGUGUUCUAGUUUUAAGUCUCUAUUAUUCUUUUGCUUAUAUGAUUUUUUUACAACAAGGUUAUCUAAUUACUAGAAAAAAAAGAAAACUAUGGCUUGAUUAACUUAUUAUAUUUUUUGUUGCUUCGUCAUUUUAACAUUCAGUGUACGUGUGAUAUUGUAUUAAGUCAUUACUAUCAUAGUUUUAUCUUUCUAGCCUAAAUUGUAAAGUAAGUUAUAAAGACUUUACAACUUAAAUGAAUCUUUAUGAAAAACCCUCAUUAUAUCGCCUAGACAUUGUGCAGAUCAAUUGAGACUUUCUGAGCAUUCUUUACAUAAAUGUAAAUUUAAUGUUCUCUAAAAAGCUUAUGCUCAUUUAGUUAAAAGCGCACCAGUGAUGCUGAGAAGUGUCUGCUAGGUAAACCCCAACAAAAAAGCAAGCUCGCCUGUUAUUUUUAACUGCUUAUAAUUGGCGAUUAAAAAGUGCAUAAAGUUGUUAGUAAUUUUAACUUCAGAUAAAUAACCAUCCUUUUAAGUAUUAAUAUCGACUAUUGAUAUCUUAAAAGAACAAAACCCGGCUUAA
This 681-nucleotide non-coding RNA is filed under the name Erythrotrichia carnea. The record is from RNAcentral. Lineage: Eukaryota; Rhodophyta; Compsopogonophyceae; Erythropeltidales; Erythrotrichiaceae.